UACGAGGGGGCAAGCGUUGUUCGGAAUUAUUGGGCGUAAAGGGCGCGUAGGCGGUGCGGUAAGUUCACCUGUGAAAUCUCCGGGCUCAACUCGGAGCCUGCAGGCGAAACUGCCGGUGCUGGAGUGUGGGAGAGGUGCGGUGGAAUUCCCGGUUGUAGCGGUGGAAAUGACGUAGAUAUCGGGAGGAACACCUGUGGCGAAAGCGGCGCACUGGACCACAACUGACGCUGAGGCGCGAAAGCUAGGGGAGCAAACAGG
RNAcentral lists this ribosomal RNA (258 nucleotides) under uncultured bacterium. RNAcentral describes it as "partial 16S ribosomal RNA". It matches the Rfam family "Bacterial small subunit ribosomal RNA", at positions 524 to 776 of the family's 1533-position model. The record is from RNAcentral.